CUCUAGAUUAAGUAGCCCAUGCUCCUCCUUGGCGUCCUUGCUUAGCCGCUACUCCUUGCAGGCUGCAGUGGCAGCAAUUUUUUUUGAAUUUGUUUUCCCUUAAAUGUACUCAUAGCCGUUCCUAUAUGAACGCUUUAUUUUGUGAAAUCGAAAGAGAUGUUUUAGUAAAGCUUCAAAAACUGAUUAUGUGAUGGACAGUGAAACCGUUCAAGAGAAUACUGGCCAUACCAGUUCAGUGAUACCUGAUGAUCAGAUGCCAUUCAUCCUGUGAGAGUUCUCUCAAACCAGGUUGAUAGCAAGGUUGAUAGUCAAAUAGUUGAAGAGAACGUGCCAGUUCAGUGAUCUCUUGCUGCAGAUGCCAUUAGUCAUGUGACAAUUCUUUCAAACGUACCAAGUUGAUAGUCAAAUAGAAGAAGAGAAUACUGGCCGUGCCAGUUCAGUGAUCUCUUGCUGCAGCCAUCCAUCCUGUGACAGUUCUCUUAUACCGGGUUGAUAUUCAAAUAGAUGAAGAUAAUACUGGCCAUACCAGUUUCAGUGAUAACUGAUGAUCAGAUAUGCCAUUCAUCCUGUGACAGUUCUCUCAGGCCACGUUGAUAGUCAAAUAGUUAAUAGUUAAAGGGAACACUGGCCGUGCCAGUUCAGUGAUCUCUGCUGCUGAUGCCAUCCUUUUUAUGACAGUUCUCUCAAACCAUGUUGAUAGUCAAAAUAAAUGAUGAUAAUCUGUCAGCGGACACUUGGUUGUGUGGUUAGAGUACCCGCGCCGUGAUUCGUUGAGUCGCACGUUCAAGUCUCUUGCUGGAAGUUCAUUUUGAAUUUUCGCCUUUUGCGCGGAAAACUGUUUCUGUUGGUUAUUUAAAUUCGUAUUUUGUAACCGGAAUUAUAUAUGUAUUGGUGUCGUGGUUAGCACGCUCGCCGUGUAAUCAUGAAGUCGGUGGUUCGAUACUCGAUCUAGACAAAUGUUUUACUGAUUUUUUUUUUCGC
This 981-nucleotide long non-coding RNA is filed under the name Daphnia pulicaria. RNAcentral describes it as "uncharacterized LOC124341886, transcript variant X2". The record is from RNAcentral. Lineage: Eukaryota; Metazoa; Arthropoda; Branchiopoda; Diplostraca; Daphniidae.